Molecule: ribosomal RNA, 215 nt
Filed under: Campeiostachys nutans
Lineage: Eukaryota; Viridiplantae; Streptophyta; Magnoliopsida; Poales; Poaceae
Description: Elymus nutans partial small subunit ribosomal RNA
Rfam family: Eukaryotic small subunit ribosomal RNA (bases 50-215)
Source: RNAcentral
GGAUCGGAUUGUUGGUCGUGCCUCGGUACGCACUGGCAUUAUUGGGUCCUACCUUCUGAAGAACCGCGAUGUCAUUAAUUUGGUGUCGUGGGGAAUCAGGACUGUUACUUUGAAAAAAUUAGAGUGUUUAAAGCAGGCUAACGCUUGAAUACAUUAGCAUGGAAUAACGAAAUAGGACGUUUGAUUUUAUUUUGUAGGUUUCUAGGAUCGACGUA